Molecule: ribosomal RNA, 222 nt
Filed under: uncultured bacterium
Lineage: Bacteria
Description: partial 16S ribosomal RNA
Rfam family: Bacterial small subunit ribosomal RNA
Source: RNAcentral
UACGAAGGGGGCUAGCGUUGUUCGGAUUUACUGGGCGUAAAGCGCACGUAGGCGGAUCGUUAAGUCGGGGGUGAAAUCCUGGAGCUCAACUCCAGAACUGCCUUCGAUACUGGCGAUCUUGAGUCCGGAAGAGGUGAGUGGAACUCCUAGUGUAGAGGUGGAAUUCGUAGAUAUUAGGAAGAACACCAGUGGCGAAGGCGGCUCACUGGUCCGGUACUGACG